Molecule: ribosomal RNA, 368 nt
Filed under: uncultured eukaryote
Lineage: Eukaryota
Description: bacterial SSU rRNA
Rfam family: Eukaryotic small subunit ribosomal RNA
Source: RNAcentral
CAAUAGCGUAUAUUAAUGUUGUUGCAGUUAAAAAGCUCGUAGUUGGAUUUCUGGCUGGAGUGUCCGGUCCGCCCCUCACGGGGUGUGUUACUUGGGUUACUUUGGCCAUCCUUGGCGAGAGCGAUGUGGGCAUUAAGUUGUUCGUGUUGGGAUCGCCAUCAUUUACUGUGAAAAAAUUAGAGUGUUUAAAGCAGGCGUUUGCUGUGAAUACAUUAGCAUGGAAUAAUAAUCUAGGACUUCGGUUCUAUUUUGUUGGUUUCUAGUACUGAAGUAAUGAUUGAUAGGGAGUCGUUGGGGGUGGCUAGUAUUGAGCGGCCAGAGGUGAAAUUCUUGGAUUCGCUCAAGACUAACUUAUGCGAAAGCAUUUG